GUGACCUGAUGCACAUGGAAUG
RNAcentral lists this ribosomal RNA (22 nucleotides) under Euglena agilis. RNAcentral describes it as "partial large subunit ribosomal RNA species 2". The record is from RNAcentral. Lineage: Eukaryota; Euglenozoa; Euglenophyceae; Euglenales; Euglenaceae.